RNAcentral lists this ribosomal RNA (482 nucleotides) under uncultured bacterium. Its description in RNAcentral is "partial 16S ribosomal RNA". It matches the Rfam family "Bacterial small subunit ribosomal RNA", at positions 30 to 507 of the family's 1533-position model. The record is from RNAcentral.
AUUGAACGCUGGCGGCAUGCCUUACACAUGCAAGUCGAACGGUAACAGGUCUUCGGAUGCUGACGAGUGGCGAACGGGUGAGUAAUACAUCGGAACGUGCCCGAUCGUGGGGGAUAACGAAGCGAAAGCUUUGCUAAUACCGCAUACGAUCUACGGAUGAAAGCAGGGGACCGCAAGGCCUUGCGCGAACGGAGCGGCCGAUGGCAGAUUAGGUAGUUGGUGGGAUAAAAGCUUACCAAGCCGACGAUCUGUAGCUGGUCUGAGAGGACGACCAGCCACACUGGGACUGAGACACGGCCCAGACUCCUACGGGAGGCAGCAGUGGGGAAUUUUGGACAAUGGGCGAAAGCCUGAUCCAGCCAUGCCGCGUGCAGGAUGAAGGCCUUCGGGUUGUAAACUGCUUUUGUACGGAACGAAAAGACUCUGGUUAAUACCUGGGGUCCAUGACGGUACCGUAAGAAAAAGCACCGGCUAACUACGUG